GGGAAAGAGGGAAUGAGGGUCGGGGAAGGAUGAAGGAGAUCACUCUCUAUCAUUGCUCAGAUCGCUCUCCUUCAGUUAAGCUUUGGUUUCAUGUGUUGUAAACACACUGAGGAAGAGAGGGAGGACAGAACAGACAGGAUGGAUGAAUGCACUGAGGGCGAGGGAGUGCAAUGAAAAAGCUACCCGUGUUUUAGAUUUCACCUGAUCUAUGAUUGGCAGAGAAAUGGAAAGAGGUAGACACAAAACAAGCUCAUGUGGGUAACAUUUGGAGGACUGUUGAGGCGGAGACAAUGCGGAUAAAAGGAAAGCUUCAGCGAGAGGAAGUCAGGCAUUUACCCACCACGAGCCAUGCAAACACCUGACAAGACCACAAUCAUGUCAACGAUGCAAGCUAAUUGCAGCUAACGAGCACGCUGGACAACCCGAUGCUGAGAGCCCACAGAGACAGCAGAAGCAGCAGAAGAGGGGGAGAAACAGGCAAAGAUGGAAGGAACACAGGGUUGCUGAGGAAAGGCCCGUUGCUCCAGAGGUGGCAGACAUCCAGUGGUCUGUUGUGAUGACACGACGGCUAUUUGACGAGGAACAUCUAUGCAAGCGGCAGUCAAUGAGGGGCCACCGUACCGGAAGACAGCGCAGCUUCCUUCUGACUAAUGCUGGACUAUUUUAAAACAACACGACGGAAUUAACUGCUGCUUAAACGCACAGUAAUAACAUUUAACCACUUUGAUUUGAUGCAGUUGGGGGGCACUGCCACCACUUAUGGUCCAGAUGAGCACUCACUCCCUCCGUUCCACCACAUCUCUCUCCCUUUUCCUUUACAAUAACACAUCUAACACUCAACAGCGGUCAACCAACCCGACCUGCAAUCAGUCUAUUAGGCGACAUAAUGUUGGUAAAGACGACAUCUUCUCGCCUCUUUCUGUCUGGUAUUUGGUCAUUAAGGAGGAAGCGUUCUGGAUAUCACCGCUGUGGCUGCAGCGGUCAAAAGAAAAUGAGGUGACAAACAUAAAUUUCCACACGGGAUGCUGGAGAGCAUGGCAGGUUAACUAGGCGCCUUUUAAUGAUGAUCCUAUUAUGGGGCAGCAAAUGGCUUAAAAAAAAAAAAAACAAUGACAGCGUGCUGGCACAUCUCUGCAGGGUUUCCACUCCUUGCAAAACACAAUAAUUCCAAUGUGGAAUGUUUGUUUGUGUUUCUAUGUCAAACGCUGGAUUUCUUUGUUAUAUUUCCUCGCUGUCUUUCCCUCGUUGUCCGUCUCUAAGCUUAUCCAACCUUGAUACAGAGCCAAACCAUACACCUGUUUGUCUUGUGGACAACCAGUCAACUAGUCACAAGGGUACUCUCUGCAAACCUCUGUAAUUGGAAGCAGACAUGCUGAUGAUAGUAAAAGGAUGUGUGUGGGUAUGUGCGUAUGUGUAUUGUGGUUGAGGGAGAGUUAUGCAUGAUUUUUGUAGUGCAUUGAUCUGUAAAUGUGGAGAAAGUAUUACCCUUCUGCAAUAGUUACAUUUCCAGAUUGUCAGACAAUGGCCAGGAUACUCAGUUUGCUAGCUUGCUCCUUAGCAUGUUAGUUUCAUUUUAUAAGGCAGAAUCAUUUCAUCUUAAAAUGGGCCACAGAGCGACGACGGGAAUGAAAACGUGCUGUCAAGGAAACACAUUUUGCUUGCAAAAAAACGGACUAACAGUUACUGUAACACCAGUUCAGUUGGACAGAAUAGAGUCCAAUUGAGUUUGAUGACUCACUCUAUUACUAAUAGUAAGUUAAGUUGAAUUUCUUAUGAAUAGUGCACCAAGAAACACGCUCUAAAAACGUAUGGGAAAGUGCAGUGGCUUGUGGGAGUGCAUUCAUGCAAGCUGUUCCUUCUGUCUGUCUGCUUCCUGGUUAAUUAGCCCGUCAUCGUGAUAACACGCGAGAGUCAGCGCUUCCAGCGUUGAUUUACGGCGACGCGCUGGGAGAAGCAUUGCAGAGUUUCUGAGCCAGACCGAGCCGGAGAACGAGACAGUGAGAGUUGUUAUUAAUGAGGUCGCUAUAAUGUGAAUUAAUGUGCGAGUGCACAACAGUCUUUAAAGGUUAGACUGUUGCCGGUGCGGAGGGGAGAAGAACGCAGGGAAAAUCUUUAAAGGUUAGCGUGUGUGCUCCGCCUGGGCCCGUUUUGUGUUUAUUACUGCUUUCUAUUGAUUUAGUGAUGAUGGUGACCAAGGUGAAAAUGAUGAUGAUGGCAAAGAUGCUGAUGAUAACUUCAUAAAAUGGAUAGGGCUCAUCUAUGGUCUGUUUAACUCGUUUAGGAUCGCACAGCACCAUUAUUAUGACAUCGGUAAACAUCAUCCCACACAUGUGCCCCUGCGUGAUCGACUCAUCGACCCAAUGUUGGUUCAGUAUUAUAAAAAGGAAGUAUUAAAGAAUUAAUAACAGUGAUUCAAGGAAUGACAGCUCAGCAUAUACAUACACACACUCUCUCCCCAUCCUCCAUUAACACAUACCAAUCCCUCUACACCUUAAAAAACUGACUUACGAGU
Molecule: non-coding RNA, 2512 nt
Organism: Gasterosteus aculeatus aculeatus (three-spined stickleback)
Lineage: Eukaryota; Metazoa; Chordata; Actinopteri; Perciformes; Gasterosteidae
Source: RefSeq, a predicted model, not a curated record